RNAcentral lists this long non-coding RNA (315 nucleotides) under Erythranthe guttata (spotted monkey flower). RNAcentral's name for it is "long non-coding RNA (EGUT_LNC002728)". The record is from RNAcentral. Lineage: Eukaryota; Viridiplantae; Streptophyta; Magnoliopsida; Lamiales; Phrymaceae.
AGCAACACAAUCCCAUGGCUGACAUUUCCAGAUAGUUGAACACAAUCUAGAAUGUUAUCCCUUCAUAUUACCCGAACAAAAUGACAUAUUACAAGUUAAUAAUUCUUAAAAUAAUUAAAUAUCUACUGAAGCCAUAGAGAAACAGAGAAAAAUAAAAGUGGGGCGCGGCGCGGCAUUGCGGAGAAGAAAGAAGAAAAGUGAAGAAAAAGGAAAAUGAAAGAUUAGGUGAAGCUGCCGAGAAGAAAGAAGAAAUGUGAAGAAAAAAGAAAAUGAAAGAUUAGAUGAAGAAAACGGCGCAGAGAAGAAAGUGAAAAU